RNAcentral lists this ribosomal RNA (570 nucleotides) under uncultured bacterium. RNAcentral's name for it is "partial 16S ribosomal RNA". It matches the Rfam family "Bacterial small subunit ribosomal RNA", at positions 355 to 914 of the family's 1533-position model. The record is from RNAcentral.
UGGGGAAUUUUGGACAAUGGGCGAAAGCCUGAUCCAGCAAUGCCGCGUGUGUGAAGAAGGCCUUCGGGUUGUAAUGCACUUUUGUCCGGAAAGAAAUCCUUGGCUCUAAUACAGUCGGGGGAUGACGGUACCGGAAGAAUAAGCACCGGCUAACUACGUGCCAGCAGCCGCGGUAAUACGUAGGGUGCAAGCGUUAAUCGGAAUUACUGGGCGUAAAGCGUGCGCAGGCGGUUUGCUAGACGAUGUGAAAUCCCCGGGCUCAACCUGGGAACUGCAUUGGUGACUGGCAGGCUAGAGUAUGGCAGAGGGGGGUAGAAUUCCACGUGUAGCAGUGAAAUGCGUAGAGAUGUGGAGGAAUACCGAUGGCGAAGGCAGCCCCCUGGGCCAAUACUGACGCUCAUGCACGAAAAGGCGUGGGGGACGCAAAACAGGAUUAGAUACCCUGGUAGUCCCACGCCCUAAACGAUGUCAACUAGUUGUUGGGGAUUCAUUUCCUUAGUAACGUAGCUAACGCGUGAAGUUGACCGCCUGGGGAGUACGGUCGCAAGAUUAAAGCUCAAAGGAAUUGAC